GAUUUAACGUCCGUUUUUCUUCCCUCUUGUCUGACUUGUCAAACUUGACUUAUCUUCGUCGUGGCUGCUGGCGAAAAGAAAAGAAAAGAAAAGAAAAGAAAAGAAAAGAAAAGGGGGAGAGGGGAGUCACCCUUAAAGGAAAACUACAAACCACCCGAAGCAGAUGGCAGAGGCGAGCAGGAUUGCGAGCAGGACUGUGCGAGUGAGAGGCCUGCCGGCAGACGGCUCCUUGAGCAAUUAACCGGCCAUUUCCUGCGAUCCAGAAACGGCGGAGGGGAAAUAGAGUCUGUUCGAGUGGACCCAACAAACCCCAACUGUGCCCUGGUCCAGUUUAAAGACAGUGCAGUGGCCCAGACUCAACCAUGACCCACUGCAAAGUCAACUUCAGCCUGCCUGGUCACAACAAGCACGCCACCAUCAAGGUCACCUACCUGGGAUACAAAAAGUGGGUGUUAGCUCUUUGUAAAAAUACAUCAUAAUCAUCAUACGAUUUGCUCUGAAUGAUUGCCAGGAGCGUCAAGGGCAUUAUGCGUAAAUCCUAUUUUGCCUGCCUGCUGGUAAUUGUACUAUGAACUGUAUACAUUUGUGGCUUGAAUCUAAAAGUGAAGAAAUGAGUUCAUGCUUUCUUUUCAUUGCAUGUUUUUGCACUUGAGAAUUCCUCCGUGUCGUAAAGUUAAGCCAAUUGCGAAGGACAAUGAGAUGUUCCGGCCUGUAAUUAAUAUCUUUGUUGUUGCAAAUGUUAAAAAGAAGUUAAUCAACUCGGUCAGUGAUCUGAUUUUAUUAUGCAAAAUAUUGGAAUCGGCAUCAGCCUAGGCCUUAGUUAAAGCCGGUCUUGAUUGAAUCGGACCAAUUAAAAAAAACAACAACAGACGUUUUUCCAAUUUCUUGUUAUGCUUUUUUUUUUUUUUUAUUAGUCCUGGAAAACAUGUAAGGCAUAUGGUAACAUUACACACUGAAGCGUUACAAGCUGUAGCGGCCCACUCGGAGCCUACCCGGAGUCGAGCACAGAAAGAAGCAGCAUCGAUUCAAAAAGGGUUUUUUCCCCAAAAAAUCAAAUUUGAAAACAACAACAAAAGUGGUUUUGAUUGGCGUCGUGUUUUUUUGUGGAGGGUUGCGGUGGAUACAAAGUUACACAAGACGCGCAUCAAUGGUCACGUUUGAGGAAAGCCCGUGUUUCAAUGGUGAGCGUUUGGAUGUGGGGGACGAGGGCCGGCGCAUUCCUAGACUUAGGUGGCUGCCCGUGCCGGAGGCUUCGCUUGGCAACUUGACACGUGACUUAUUCUUUCUCACACCACAUGAACACUAAACUAA
This is a long non-coding RNA of Syngnathus acus (greater pipefish), 1311 nucleotides long. RefSeq lists it as uncharacterized. The record is from RefSeq and is a predicted model, not a curated record. Lineage: Eukaryota; Metazoa; Chordata; Actinopteri; Syngnathiformes; Syngnathidae. The transcript has 3 exons.